UGCCUGUCACAUCUGUGAAUGUGGAAUGUGUUUUGUUGGUUGAUUGAAAAACAAGAAAACUUAAUAAAACUUUAAAUUGAAAAAAAACACCAGAAAUUAACACCAGCCACCAGUUCCCAGCCACCAGUUACCCAGCCACCAGUUACCCGCCACCAUUUACCCGCCACCAGUUACCCGCCACCAGUUACCCACCAGUUACCAGCCACCAGUUACCAGCCACCAGUUACCAGCCACCAGUUACCAGCCACCAGUUACCAGUCACCAGUCAAAUGGUGCUAGAUUCUGGCAUUGGCUGGUAGAAUGUGUAUUCUUACAGGCCACAUUGGCGGGUGGUCACACAGAGCAUUUGGGAACAGUUAAAUAUGUUUUAUCAAAGCCCACAUGUAAAAAAAAAACAUUAAAAAAAUAAAUAAAUAUAUAUUUGAGUGUGAAUGUGUGUGUAGAAUCUCAAUACCACCAUGCUGAAAGCGUAAUGAUUAUAUAAGGAUAUGCUAUAGACUGUGUGGUGUAUUGUGGAUAUGUUAUAGACUGUGUGGUAUAUUGUGUUCAUAGUGGAUAUAUUAUAGACUGUGUGGUGUAUUGUGGAUAUAUUAUAGACUGUGUGGUGUAUUGUGGAUAUAUUAUAGACUGUGUGGUGUAUUGUGGAUAUAUUAUAGACUGUGUGGUGUAUUGUGUUCAUAGUGGAUAUGUUAUACUAUGAGGUGUAUUGUGUUCAUAGUGGAUAUGUUAUAGACUGUGGUGUAUUGUGUUCAUAGUGGAUAUGUU
Molecule: long non-coding RNA, 765 nt
Organism: Oncorhynchus tshawytscha (Chinook salmon)
Lineage: Eukaryota; Metazoa; Chordata; Actinopteri; Salmoniformes; Salmonidae
Source: Ensembl